GAUGAACGCUAGCGGCAGGCUUAAUACAUGCAAGUCGAGGGGCAGCACAGGUAGCAAUACCGGGUGGCGACCGGCAAACGGGUGCGGAACACGUACGCAACCUUCCCGGAACAGGGUGAAUAGCCCUGCGAAAGUAGGAUUAAUACACCGUAUGAUAUUUUGGUGGCAUCACUUUAAUAUUAAAGGUAGCAAUACCGGUUCUGGAUGGGCGUGCGCCUGAUUAGGUAGUUGGUGCGGGUAAUGGCCCACCAAGCCUUCGAUCAGUAACUGGUGUGAGAGCACGACCAGUCACACGGGCACUGAGACACGGGCCCGAC
This 317-nucleotide ribosomal RNA is filed under the name uncultured bacterium. RNAcentral's name for it is "bacterial SSU rRNA". It matches the Rfam family "Bacterial small subunit ribosomal RNA", at positions 28 to 336 of the family's 1533-position model. The record is from RNAcentral.